CAGGCCGUCGGACGGGACGAGCCCCGCUCUUCCCAGCCCGGAUUCAGCCCCACAGUUCCCAAUUCCGAUUCAACCCCGCUCUUCCCAGCCCGGGUUUAGCCCCACAGUUCCCAAUUCCCAAUCAACCCUGCUCUUCCCAGUCUGGAUUCAGCCCCACAGUUCCCAAUUCCGAAUCAACUCUGCUCUUCCCAGCCCGGGUUCAGCCCCACAGUUCCCAAUUCCCAAUCAACUCUGCACUUUCUCAGUCUGGACUCAGCCCCACAGUUCCCAAUUCCAAUUCAACCCUGCACUUUCUCAGUCUGGACUCAGUCCCACAGUUCCCAAUUCCCAAUCAACUCUGCUCUUCCCAGUCUGGAUUUGAUCCGCCCUCUCCAUCCCUGCAUUCCCCAUCCCGGCUCCAUCCCCGCAUUCCCUAUCCCAGCUCCAUCCCCGCAUUCCCCAGCCUCUCUCCAGCCUCUCUCUGGGCUAAUACAGGCUGGGAGACGAGGGCUGAAGGCUCUCAGUGCCCUCUUCUCCCUCUUUCCUCCUGGCUGCCGGGGAUUCCAGCCCCGCCGGUUCACUCACCUGCCGCAGGAUCUGCUGGGCCUGCACGGGCAGCCGGGCUUCCACCGAGGCCGUGGUGGCCAGCGUCCUCCUCACCCGCUCCUGGGGAAGCACAGCCAGGGCAGAGCAGCCUUAGGGCCUGGAGCAGGGGGGUGGGUGCCUGGGGAGGGCAGGGAGCAGCCCCAAACUGGGUCUGGGAGCCGGGCAGGGAAAGGGGGAUGUGCCCUGAGCAGGAAAACCCCUUUGCAGAGGGAUUUCUGGUUUGUGACAGCAAAUCUAAUCCCUAAAGGAGACCAGUUCUCCUGGCUGGCAUUUCUCCUGGCUCUCCCAUCACCCUGCAGCUGUAUUUUGGUUUCUGGCAGGUGGGACCCAUGGAGCACCAAGAGUUUUUGGGGCUGGGAGAGACGCGUGAGUACCUUGAGGUGCGGUGCCAAGCGGGAGAGGAACUGGACGCUUUCCCCCAGCUUUGCCUGCAGGACAGGAACGUGAGAAGGGCUCAGAAACCUCGCUGCCCCCUUCGAGGGGCACUGCUGCCACCAGCCCAGCACGGACUCACCACCAAAGCCUCCUGCGCCUGCACCGU
Molecule: long non-coding RNA, 1126 nt
Filed under: Serinus canaria (Common canary)
Lineage: Eukaryota; Metazoa; Chordata; Aves; Passeriformes; Fringillidae
Description: lncRNA (ENSSCAG00000001924.1)
Source: RNAcentral